RNAcentral lists this long non-coding RNA (1097 nucleotides) under Vulpes vulpes (red fox). Its description in RNAcentral is "lncRNA (ENSVVUG00000016729.1)". Lineage: Eukaryota; Metazoa; Chordata; Mammalia; Carnivora; Canidae. The record is from RNAcentral.
CUUUCCCUCCCACUGCUAUUAAAAGUACAUAAAUAAUGUAAACUUAGUUCAGGCUGCUACAUGUGAUCUUCUCACCAAGCUGGAAAGAGAGCAGUGAGUGCCCUGAUGAUACUGGUUGAAUGACUAGAACCAGCCAUGCCUAAAGCCUGAACACCUCUUUAGCUUUCCACUUACAUAAGCCAAUAAAUUUCCAUUUUUCCUUAAGCUAGCUAAAGUUGGACUUCUAAUUGUAUGGUAACCACAUUGUAAUCAUAAAAUUUAUAGCCCUACCAAUCCCUCACCUCGCUUUCUCCAAUAUGCUUUGCUGCUUGAAUAUAGGCAUGCAAAAACACAAGUGGUCAGCAGAUUUUAUCGAGGAGAAAGAUUUUGCCAGGAAAGUACAACAAGAAAAAGGUACAAGAGCAUCAGAACAAGCCUUACAGCCAACUUUCGUUCUUUUAAUCUCAACACUUGAGCCAAGGCAAGGAGAUUCCUGGCAACGCUGCAUUCACUGCCAACAAGGAUGCUUCUGGAAGGACAUGCUACUGAUAUUAAGGAAAGAAGAUCAGGAGGUGGAACCAAAAGAGACGAGGUUCCUGCCUUUGAUACUUGGUUUCGAUUUCAAUGCAGAACUAGCAUCCACUGUAUGCAGCCAUCUCUCCUGUACAAAAGAAUCCAGCGCUCAGUGUGCAAAGGAAAGAUGUUUACUUCCAGGGGCUUGGGGGAUGGUGCAAUAAUAAGGGUCAGAUUACAUGUGUGAUCAAUUUUGGCCUUUUGCACGUCAAUUAACAUAUCGUACUUGAAUGUUUUAUUGAUGGCAAAAUCCUAUAGUGGGAUGUUAUUAUGCUCAUAUUUUAAUGUCUUAGGGGUCAGCAUCUUGCACACAGAUAUCCACUAGCAUAUAUUCAAAUGCAGAAUUGCUAGCUUUAUCAUUUUAAAUGAUUUAAGCCAAUGAAAGGACACUCCAUUUGUUUGCUCAGUAGUCAAUUGAAAUGGAAACGGUUAGCUGAGUGCAUCUCCCUUGAAAGUCUCUUCCCCUCUAGUGCCAAUUACAGAAUAUGAAAGGUGCACUCCGCACAGCUUGCUCAGGAUAAUAAAUCACUAAAUUGGAAGCUUCA